UCAGAUGGAGAUGCUCUCCUGCACUCAGGUGGUCACACAGGUGACACAGGUGGCCCAGGUGACAUCAGAUGGAGAUGCUCUCCUGCACGCAGGUGGUCACACAGGUGGCCCAGGUGGCCCAGGUGGCCCAGGUGCCAUCAGAUGGAGAUGCUCUCCUGCACGCAGGUGACACAGGUGACA
Molecule: long non-coding RNA, 180 nt
Organism: Haemorhous mexicanus (house finch)
Lineage: Eukaryota; Metazoa; Chordata; Aves; Passeriformes; Fringillidae
Exons: 3
Source: RefSeq, a predicted model, not a curated record